AUUGAACGCUGGCGGCAUGCCUUACACAUGCAAGUCGAACGGCAGCACGGGAGCAAUCCUGGUGGCGAGUGGCGAACGGGAGAGUAAUAUAUCGGAACGUGCCCAGUCGUGGGGGAUAACGCAGCGAAAGCUGUGCUAAUACCGCAUACGAUCUAUGGAUGAAAGCGGGGGAUUGCAAGACCUCGCGCGAUUGGAGCGGCCGAUAUCAGAUUAGCUAGUUGGGGAGGUAAAGGCUCACCAAGGCGACGAUCUGUAGCUGGUCUGAGAGGACGACCAGCCACACUGGAACUGAGACACGGUCCAGACUCCUACGGGAGGCAGCAGUGGGGAAUUUUGGACAAUGGGCGAAAGCCUGAUCCAGCAAUGCCGCGUGCAGGAUGAAGGCCUUCGGGUUGUAAACUGCUUUUGUACGGAACGAAACGGUGAGCUCUAAUACAGUUUGCUAAUGACGGUACCGUAAGAAUAAGCACCGGCUAACUACGUGCCAGCCGCCGCCGUAA
This 500-nucleotide ribosomal RNA is filed under the name uncultured bacterium. Its description in RNAcentral is "partial 16S ribosomal RNA". It matches the Rfam family "Bacterial small subunit ribosomal RNA", at positions 30 to 523 of the family's 1533-position model. The record is from RNAcentral.